This 369-nucleotide ribosomal RNA is filed under the name uncultured organism. RNAcentral's name for it is "partial 16S ribosomal RNA". It matches the Rfam family "Bacterial small subunit ribosomal RNA", at positions 527 to 896 of the family's 1533-position model. The record is from RNAcentral.
GUAGGUGGCAAGCGUUGUCCGGAAUUAUUGGGCGUAAAGCGCGCGCAGGCGGUUCUUUAAGUCUGAUGUGAAAGUCCACGGCUCAACCGUGGAGGGUCAUUGGAAACUGGAGAACUUGAGUACAGAAGAGGAAAGCGGAAUUCCACGUGUAGCGGUGAAAUGCGUAGAGAUGUGGAGGAACACCAGUGGCGAAGGCGGCUUUCUGGUCUGUAACUGACGCUGAGGCGCGAAAGCGUGGGGAGCAAACAGGAUUAGAUACCCUGGUAGUCCACGCCGUAAACGAUGAGUGCUGAGUGUUAGGGGGUUUCCGCCCCUUAGUGCUGCAGCUAACGCAUUAAGCACUCCGCCUGGGAGUACGGCGCAAGGCUG